GACGAACGCUGGCGGCGUGCUUAACACAUGCAAGUCGAACGGAAAGGCCCUGCUUGCAGGGUGCUCGAGUGGCGAACGGGUGAGUAACACGUGGGUGAUCUGCCCCUUACUUUGGGAUAAGCCUGGGAAACUGGGUCUAAUACUGGAUAGGACCAUGCUGUAGGUGGUGUGGUGGAAAGAUUAGUUUCGGUAAGGGAUGAGCUCGCGGCCUAUCAGCUUGUUGGUGGGGUAAUGGCCUACCAAGGCGUCGACGGGUAGCCGGCCUGAGAGGGUGGACGGCCACAUUGGGACUGAGAUACGGCCCAGACUCCUACGGGAGGCAGCAGUGGGGAAUAUUGCACAAUGGGCGCAAGCCUGAUGCAGCGACGCCGCGUGGGGGAUGACGGCCUUCGGGUUGUAAACUCCUUUCAGCCAUGACGAAGCCCUUGUGGUGACGGUAGUGGUAGAAGAAACACCGGCUAACUACGU
RNAcentral lists this ribosomal RNA (468 nucleotides) under uncultured bacterium. RNAcentral's name for it is "partial 16S ribosomal RNA". It matches the Rfam family "Bacterial small subunit ribosomal RNA", at positions 28 to 506 of the family's 1533-position model. The record is from RNAcentral.